Molecule: ribosomal RNA, 604 nt
Filed under: Steinernema sp. PB63.1TH
Lineage: Eukaryota; Metazoa; Nematoda; Chromadorea; Rhabditida; Steinernematidae
Description: eukaryotic LSU rRNA
Rfam family: Eukaryotic large subunit ribosomal RNA
Source: RNAcentral
UGGUGCGAAUUCUCUUUGACUAGGGAUCCAAAGAGGGUGCUAGACCCUUACGCAUUGUUGACUUUUCGUACGCGUUCGUUUCUUGGAGUAGGGUUGUUUUGGAUCGCAGCCCAAAGUAGGUGGUAUACUUCAUCUAAAGCUAAAUACGACUACGAAUCCGAUAGCAAACAAGUACCGUGAGGGAAAGUUGCAAAGUACUUUGAAGAGAGAGUUCAAGAGGACGUGAAACCGGUAGGAUGGAAGCAGAUAAAGUUGACGAACGUGUGUCGUAUUCAGAACUACAAUUUGUGGUUUGUUUUUACGAUCGAUGUGGGCUGGCGUCUUUGGUUAACUUAGUGUCUGGCGGCAAUGGUGACCCUGCGGAGGGAUAAUCGGUUGUCGUGCGAUGCUUGGUAUGGCUAGAGGUCGCUGGUCUUAUAGUCAUCGCUUUAUCUGACCCGUCUUGAAACACGGACCAAGGAGUGUAGCGCUUACGCGAGUCUUAGAGUGUGUCAAAACUUUGAGGCGUAACGAAAGUAAAUGUGGAUUUAUUCACUGACUUGGGAUGCGUUGUCUUUUUUGGAUAGCGUUGGACCAUGGUUUUAUCGUAAUCGCUUGCGAUGCG